GAUAGUAAAAAGCUGUUCUGCUCGUUGAUUGCUCGCCAUAUGCCUGCUGUGUGCUCGGUAUUUUAUACACAUUAUCUGGAUUGAGUCUUGCAGCCCUGCUCAGAGGUGGGUCCUCGUGUCUUCAGAGCUCAGAGGCGGCGGUGGUGGAAACUCAGGGAGGCUGCCACCUCAGGGAGCUAACUGCCAAGUGGAGUCGCAACCUGACAUCUGGGGCAUGUGUCAAACCACAACAGAGCCCGUCUCCCCUUUCAUCAAGUGCGGAGGGGGGUGCUGCUGGAGCCCUUGGAGGGAGGGACAGCUCUCACUUCAAAGGCCUCCUCAUGGAGAACUCCAGCCACCACCUUCCAGGGGAAGAGCCCACUGCCCCAGACCUCUGGCCAGCCAAGGUCUCGUGGCCAGCAGUUCCAAGGCUCAGCGAUAAGGCUGCUGCAGAGGAGAUACCAAGGAAGGCCGUCCCGCCACACUGCGCAGGACGGGCCAGUGGCUGCAGUGCCUUCUUCUGGUGUCCGGAGUUUCCCAGCAGACGGAGCAGUCCAGGAGACACACUCAUUCCUCACUGCAGCCCUCCAGCACAGGGUUUCCUCUCCCCAUUCUGCACAGGAGCCUCAGAGGAGUCGUCAUGCUGACUGAUUGUAAAUGACCCGCUUUGCAGAGGUUGCACUUGCUGCCAGGGCUGACGUUCCCCAACCCCCACUCUCUCUGUUAACCCACACUGAAAGCUCCACAGCCAAGCCUUGUGGGUGGAAGCAGGGUUCCUUGAUGCCAGGUGGGAGGAGGUGGCCCUCUGGC
Molecule: long non-coding RNA, 789 nt
Organism: Bos taurus (domestic cattle)
Lineage: Eukaryota; Metazoa; Chordata; Mammalia; Artiodactyla; Bovidae
Source: Ensembl